GACGAACGCUGGCGGCGUGCUUAACACAUGCAAGUCGAACGGAAAGGCCCUGCUUUUGUGGGGUGCUCGAGUGGCGAACGGGUGAGUAACACGUGAGUAACCUGCCCUUGACUUUGGGAUAACUUCAGGAAACUGGGGCUAAUACCGGAUAGGAGCUCCUGCUGCAUGGUGGGGGUUGGAAAGUUUCGGCGGUUGGGGAUGGACUCGCGGCUUAUCAGCUUGUUGGUGGGGUAGUGGCUUACCAAGGCUUUGACGGGUAGCCGGCCUGAGAGGGUGACCGGCCACAAUGGGACUGAGAUACGGCCCAGACUGCUACGGGAGGCAGCAGUGGGGAAUAUUGCACAAUGGGCGGAAGCCUGAUGCAGCAACGCCGCGGGCGGGAUGACGGCCUUCGGGUUGUAAACCGCUUUCGCCUGUGACGAAGCGUGAGUGACGGUAAUGGGUAAAGAAGCACCGGCUAACUACGUG
RNAcentral lists this ribosomal RNA (468 nucleotides) under uncultured bacterium. RNAcentral's name for it is "partial 16S ribosomal RNA". It matches the Rfam family "Bacterial small subunit ribosomal RNA", at positions 28 to 507 of the family's 1533-position model. The record is from RNAcentral.